This 73-nucleotide transfer RNA is filed under the name Catenulispora sp. Its description in RNAcentral is "tRNA-Asp". It matches the Rfam family "tRNA". From Rfam's summary of the family: Transfer RNA (tRNA) molecules are approximately 80 nucleotides in length. Lineage: Bacteria; Bacillati; Actinomycetota; Actinomycetes; Catenulisporales; Catenulisporaceae. The record is from RNAcentral.
CCGGGUGUAGUGCAGUGGCAGUCACGCCGCCUUGUCAGGGCGGAGGACGCCGGUUCGAAUCCGGCCGCCCGGG